RNAcentral lists this long non-coding RNA (7932 nucleotides) under Sorghum bicolor (sorghum). RNAcentral describes it as "long non-coding RNA (SBIC_LNC000089)". Lineage: Eukaryota; Viridiplantae; Streptophyta; Magnoliopsida; Poales; Poaceae. The record is from RNAcentral.
CCCCGCGCACCUGCACCACCGAGCUCGGUCACGCCGUGACGCCGUCGAUCGCCACCACGAUGUCGCCCGCAACUGCGUCGCCCGAGCGUCUCGUCCUCGGCACCACCUCGGCACUCGCACCGCGCCCUCGCCGAGCAGCAGCAGAGCCGCGGCCAUGGCCUCGCCCUGCCGACGCCGCCAAGCACCACUGCGCCCGCCUCGGCCGUGCCCCUACCUCUGUGUCAAGCUUCAUCACCACGCGGGGGUCAGCCGCGGUGCCGUCCUCGCUGCGCAGCGGCCUCGCCCGGCGACGUCGAGCCCGCUGCCCUCGCCGCGUCGAGCUUCGACCACGGCCGGCCGCGUGGACGCCACAGCCCGGCCGAGCCUCUGCCUCGCCACCGUGGGAGUCGCCGCGGCCACGACGCCUUCAGCCCCGGCGCCCCUCCGCGUCUACGACGGUGUCGACCGCGAGCCCCCGUGCUGUCAUGGAGCUUACCUCGUCGAGCCGACACGCCGUCGACAGAGCCACCGAUGCCGCGCGCCGGGCACCAGAGCAAGCCCCUUCGCCGAGCACCCGAUGCGCCCCGUUGCCGCGGCCACGCCAGGACAUCGCCAUGGUCACCGCGUCAGCGCCGGCCGUGGUGAUCGCGACCCCGACCACGACGCCGUGCUCAUCUUGCCACGGUGACCGCGAACUUCCCUUUUGCUGGCUGCCGAUCACCACUGAACGUGCAGCAGCGGCAGCACCACCCCGCGCGAAGCUCUUCUCUGCCGCCGGUGAGCCACCAGUGCCCAAGUGCCCUCCUUGCUAGCUUUCUGUUUUGCCUUGCUGAAACCGGCCUUUGUGCCGUGUUCUUCACUGUACAGGGAUGCUGCACCCAUGUCGUGCCACUUGCCGGAGCCGUUGGACUUAACAUCGCUGCUGUUGGAGCACCGAACCUCGAGGCGUUGCCGAACCCCAAGACUUCUCUUUCAGAUGCACCCCGGCCACUUGCAGCAAGCCGCGACCAAGCUGUAGAAGCCCUCUGCCAUCCUCGCCCGCAAGGUCGAACCUUGAACCUAGCCGACAUCGUCUCCGACGUUGGCAAAACCCUUGCCGUUCAUUUCGAUAUCAUACAUGCCAUGUAUCUUGCUCAUGUAUGCAUUAUGAUCUAUCUGCAUGACCAUUUGUUCAUCUAUCCAUGUCAUGCACUUGUUACAUGAUUAUUCAUCUCAUAUCUCGUUUAAUGCGCGAUCUAUCUUCGUCUAUAUCUCUGCCUGUGCCGUGCCUUCGUGCCGGUCUAUUUAUCUAUCUCUAUCUCUUUUGGUCGCUAUGGAAAUGUGCUACUCCGAGUCGUCGUCUUGUUAGUGUUGCAAUUUGUGCUUUUGUUCUUGUCGUUGUGGACCGUGCCGUCGAGCCGGUUGAGAGAGUGACGUGUUUGGAUGUUGCGAUCGCGAGUUCGUCUCGCCAUGGCCGUAAUGCCGAGCAUGUCCCUUCUCUCGUAUUUCUGUUGUUCCUUCUUUUGUUAUUUGCAUGCCUGAGGACCGAGCCUUCGAGCCGGUUAGGGAAAAUGGUGGAGCGAUCGAUCAUUUCGAUCGUGGGUUCGUCCCGCCGUGAUCGCGAUGCCGAGCGUAACUCAUUCCCUGUGAUUAGUUGUCUUCGCUGCGCUACGGUCGUUAGCUCCUAUUCCCGUCCCUCGAACGUGGUCAUCGUGGACUCGAUGUCGUUAACGACGCGGUUCUUACCCGCACACUCGAGACCUAAAUGACCUAGUCUAGUGGGAUACGAAUUAGGGGACAACCUUCGUAGAACUAUCGGAGAAACUCGUUAGGUGAAGCUCAUGGCCGCGAGUCCACCUUGCCAUGGCCAUUGGGCUUUACCCCAUUUCUCCCGUGUUUAUCCUAACCACCUCGUAUGCUUGUACCACUUCGACUAUAGCAUUCCCUCGGACCUAGCGGUGACAACCACAUCGCUAUGGGCCUUAGGAAUAGCCUUGUGCUGAUUUAGAUGCACAGUCAUGGUGCCCUACAAGUGGGUUGGGAUCGUGGGGUCGUAUUCCUUUUAUCCAACCGUCGUUGUUCCAUGAUGAGUUGGUCGAAAGAGUAUGGACUCCAUUCUUCUUCUCUCUUGUUCUCAAUCCCGUCGAUCCAGUAAGAUGGGGAUUAAGCCCCUUUUGCUUGUUUGAUGUUUUGUUUCCAAUCCCGCGAUUCCCGCCGUUGCUAUGGCGAGCGGAUCAAAGGAAGGUGAAUCCCGUGUCUUUUUCCGCCUUUUUGGUUCUUCGUGCUUAAACUCUUGUAUGCUUGUACCUAUAUCGAUCGUAGCAUUUCUUUGGUUCUUGUGGUGACAACCGCACCGCAAAGAACCUUAGUGAUGUCAUAGUGCAUUUAGUGCACCUAGGUUGUGGUACCCUACAAGUGGUUUGAGUACUCGUGUUCCUUAUGUGUCACUCUUUCUAAUCCCCCGUCUCUUACCAUGGCGAGUGGAUGGGAAGAAGUAGACCACUCCCCUUUUCUUCUUUCCUUGUUCCACCCUCUCUUGGCUCUCGCCAACUACAAUGGCGUAUGGAUUGAGAGAGACCGGAACUUCGCGUGCUCAUAGUCUUUUCGAUUCUUGUCGAUCUCCGUGAUGCUUGGAUCGAAGAGCCACUACCUAUGGUGUUUGCUUAUGAUAAGUUAGGGUCUAAGCCAAUUAUUAAAGUCGUACAGGUUGACUUAGUCGACCCAGGAAGUACCGGCUAGGCUAAGACUCCAGCUUGUACUUAGUGAACAACCAUUCCCAUUUCUUUUAGCCCAAAGAUCGGACAUCCGCCGAGAGGGCUAAGCCGUUUUCCUUUCGUUGCUCUUUUAGUGUAGUUGUUCCUCAGUGUUAUGUCGUCUCUUUUCGUAGUCUUUCGAGGUCUAGUGGUUUGAUUGUUUCGCCUUGUUUGUCGCUUUCGAGGUAGUCGCUUCGAGGUUAGCGUUGAUCGGACCAGGACCAGUUGAAGGAAGAACAUGUAGAAAGGAGGAUCUUGGAUGAGUACAACUACAAGUGAACUGAGGAUCUUGGAAAUGUCACUCGACAGGUGCCACGUCCCACCCAACCUCGUAGAAUCCUAUUAGACAUGCAAUAUUAUAGAUGCUAGUGCUUUACUUUUAUGCAAAUGAACUAUGAUAGGUUGCAUGGUAGAAAUGCUUGUGAGCCAUUGCCUUGUUGCAACCUAUAACCCUCGCACACCCGCUGUUAGGUUAGAUGCUUGCAUACUACUUGCCACUGCUUCUACUACGCAUUAUAUCUGUGAUGUGAUGCAUUGUGGAGGAUUGGAUGUGAGUGGAUAAGGCACGUGUGCCGAUAACUGGUUAAGAAAUGGAUAAUGGAUAUGGGGAGAUCUUGGCGUGUGUCUUGGGUGUGUGGUGAGGGUCGAGUCGACCGAGCAGGAUUUACGACGAGUCUUGGGACAAGUCUUGCCGGGGAAUGCUACCUGGGCGUUCUCCAUGAGAGAUACCUGUGGCGGGUACAUGUGACAGGGAGAGGUCCCGGAGUGGAGUGUCUUCGUGGGACGAAGCACCGGGAUGGGAGGUGCUGUAUAGCACGGGGUAGCCGGGUGUCCCGUCGAGAGGGGCAUCGGCUGGCCCCUCGUGAAGAUGUCCUGUUCGGUUACCCUAAGGACUGAGAUGUUCUGAGAACCGGUUCGUAGGAAGCCUUACACGCCACUCGCCUUAUUAUGGUGCGGGACGGAUGUACGACCAGCUAGUGCGGUGCCACUACUACUAGGUUGAUAGCGGAUAGUGUAGGGAGGUACGGGCAUGAGGACCCACACCCUCCUAAGACAGCGUAGUGACCUUUGGGGGCCCGGUACUACGCCUCACAGUCUCAGCAUGCCGGUGGUACUCCGGUAUGGCCCCAGUCCUGAGUGGUAGGGUGGCAUCGUAUUUAGUUGGAAGGCAGCCCGGUAUCAGCCUAGACGAGCCGGUUCGUCGAUGAUGGUGAUCUUGUGGUUAGUGUAAACCUCUGCAGAGUUUGGUUGAUCGAUCGAUACAUAUGCCGUCUUCUCGGCUAUGGACCUUUCCUAUGUUCCGCUUCGCUUGACUAGUGAGAGGAGUCCCUUCUAUCUUCCCCUGGGUUUGUGUUGGAUCCGGCGUUGGCCGUUGAGGCAAGGCACGAGCGGGAGUCGUACUUGCCGCCUAGAGAGUGAGAGUGUGGUGAGAUGUGUGUGAUGGGAUGGAUGGAUGGAUGUGUGGAUGAGAUGGAUUAAAACUUGAUGAAUUAUUAUUAUUAAAAUAUUGAUGAACUUGCAUAGAAAAAACUACAGCCAUAUAUAGGCCUCUUGAUCUACCCUUUUGCAUUCCACUUACCACAAAGCUUACGCAAAAGCAUAGGGUGGGAGCCAGUGGCCAGUACAAAUCGUACUGAAAAUUGUUUAGCAGGUUUUGAACGUGAUCUAUGACGAUAACUACGGAGAAUAGAAGGAUUAGGUGGUCUCGUUCCUGCGCUCAAGUUUGGUUCAGAGAUGAAGGCUGCGCCCGCUGAUAAACUACGCCGACUCUGAUGAUUGUCCGUGAAGGAGGAGCCUUCACCGCUGUCGCGCUACAUCGACUCUGAUAAAGACUCGCGUGUGUUUCCGCUAGAAAAACAAUGUAAUAAGCUUGUUAAUCAAGAGUUGUAAAGCAAAUGUGUUGUAAUCUUGUUUCUCACGAUGUAUGACUACGAUAACAGCUGAUAUAUGAUAAUGCGAUGGUUCAAUUUUUGAAUUAUCACAUUAUAAUUCGAAUCUGUGGAUUUUUCCCUUUGUGGAAAAAUCUGGGUCGUUUCAGUUGGUAUCAGAGCCAUACUUGACCCUAGGACGAGACCAUUAGGACCAAACACUAGUUUAGAAGCCAAACAUUCUAUCUUUUGUAGAGUUAUAGAUGCUAACACUUGUUUUCCCCCCUCCGCCUUGAAUUCUGUUGCUAACUGACCUCCCUGUUUCAUAAAGUUGACCGUUGGAAUCUUUUCCCAUACCCGCCCACGCUAGAUCGGUAGUCGUGUGAGACUUUGAAGGUCUGUGAGUCGCCUCAAGUCAACACUAUGCAUUAGGAGUUGUAAUGCUGAUUGAGUGCUUGGAUCUUAUGUUCUUGCGUUUCGUCUGCUUCUUGUUGUUUGAGUGUAUGUCAUAGAACUGUUUUAUGCGAGAAAAACUCUGGAUCCCGUCCAAUCUAGCUGGCUAAACCUAAGACUGUCCCGAAACUAGAUAAGUGACCCUGGCUAACAGAGCCGAAAAAGGGUUUAAAGCUGAUGCAUCAUGUCUUGCCCAUCUAUUUCAAAACUGUUUUUGGCUUCCAACUAAACUUGUCUUCAAAAUUGCCCUUUUGUUGAAAAAGUUUCUCUCCUUUUUGGUUGAAAAAGUUUAUCUCUUUUACAAAACAUCUUGGUUUCAAAAGGAAAAGUGUUUCAAAACUCUCUCAAUAUUCUUCCCUUUUCACAAAUAAAGCAAUUUUAACCCCCCUUUCUCAACUCAAACUCUAUUUAUGAAACGGUUUAAAAACAAGUUAUCUUCAAAAGGUGUUACCAAUCCUCUUUCUGAAAAUCAAAAGUUCUACCUUCAACCAACAAAGUGGUUUUCAAACCAAAGAUCUUUGGCUCAGUUUUGUUUUAAAUGUCUUUGAUUUUAUCUCAAGAGCCAAAUUCCUUUUAAAAUUCAACCUUGCCUUAAAAGAAAAAGGAAUUCCCAGUGAUUUAUUAAACAAAAACCAUUGUGAAAAGUUUUUGUUUAGCAACCUUUCAAAAAAAAGAACGAAAUGGACUUUCAAGUUUCAAAAAUGUUUUGGUUGUGAAGGCUCUAACUUUCAAAAUGCGAAAUGAUUUCUUGUUAUUUUCAAAACUAAUUUGUUUGACUCUAAUAAAAAGGGAGCAAUACCUUGUUUUAAAGAAAAUAGUAAUAAUAAAAUGAAAGAAUUUUAAAAUCUUUUGAUUUGAAAUCUUUUAUAAUAAAACCUUCAAAAUAUUUGGUUCUCAAAACUUGUAUUGAAUUCAACCCUCUGCAAAAGCUCUCUUCAUUUUGAAGUCUCAAAAAAAAAAUUGACUUUGUAAAAUCGCUUUCACUCCAUUUAUGAAACCUGUUUUUUCCGAAAAACAUUCCUUUCAAAAGCUUUUUGCAAAGAGUGAUGCAUGAAAAACUGCUGGUGAAAGCCAACAACCCUAGCUAUGUUUAAGCCUGCCAUGCACUCCUAGAGAGCCAGAUGUUCAUCAACCUGGUGCGAUUCUUGGAUACCCAUCGCCUUAUUGUGAGAAUUUGGAUACCCAACACCAGCGAGUGAGCCUUGGAUACAUCCUGAACAUGACUCGCCCCCACAUGGAAAAGGUUUGUGGAGCCAUCUUUCUGAUAGCAAAACAACUCAGAAGUAAGAAAAGCUUUGGGAACGACACCCGCGUUUCUUCACCGACCGAGCAACGCCUAAAUCUCGGGGACGAGAUUCCUGUAAGGAGGGUGGACUGUAACAUCCCAGAUUUUCACGAAAACCAAAAAUACGAGUUUUUUUAAAAUUUUUCCUGUAAUCGUGUGAAUCAUAUAGUAUUUAGGUCAAACUCGAUCCUAACCCGCUAACAAAUCGUGGCAUACAUAUAGAUUUGUUUGUAGACGGGUCGUCUUAAGUUGGAUCUUGUUAGGGUUUUGAGUUUCUUUUGGAGUGCACAAAUCCGUAGCAAAGCCUUCCCGAAUUUUCGUUGAGCCUAUCUCAAAGGCGAAGCGGAUCCCUUCUCAACCUUUUCGUUGGAGUACGUCUCAAACUCCUUUUGAUCCUUUUGAACUCUCCCUGAAAUUCCCUUCUCUCUCUCUUUGAUCUUAUCUAAAUCUCCUCCGCAAAAUCUAUCUUAAAUUCAUGGUAACUCAUCUCAAUCUCUUGUUGAGUUCUCUCUCGAAUGCCCCUCAUUUUUUUUUCCCUUUUAAAAUUUCUCUCAAAGCCCUUGAGUCAAAUUCGUAAAUGGAAGAUCCAUCUCCUUUCAUGGGCCAAUUCUUUCCUCCUCUUCCUCCCUCCCUCGGCCCAGCCUGGGCACCCUUCCCCCCUGUCCGGCCCAACUCGCGCGCGCCAAGGCCCAGUCUGCCCCUUACCCCCCAGCCAGGUCGGCCCACCUCGUUCCCCCUGUCUCCCCUCCGAGGCCCAGCUCUUUCCUUGGCCCAUCCAGUGCCGCGCUGGCCCAUUCGCUUCUCCCUGCUCUGGCCCAAGUCGUGGCCGGCCCAGCAGCCAGCGCCCCAGCCCCAACCCUAGCAGGGAGCUGGACACCUGAGCCCCAGAGCCGCCGCCGCCGUCGCCCAAGGCAGAGCCGCGCCAGCGCUCGCGCCUGCCACGGCUUCCGUGCGACCCCGCAUCCACCGCCGCGUGUCCCGCUGCGGACACGGACGCCGAGGAUGGCCGCAGCGUCCCUGGAGCCCUAGCGCCCGCGCUAUAAAAGCGGCAGCAGCCGCUCGCCCUUCUUCUACCCGCCGCCGCCGCCAUAGCCGACUCGAAGCUCCGCACCCUCACCAAGCGCCUCGACCCCGACCUCGCCCCGCGCACCUGCACCACCGAGCUCGGUCACGCCGUGACGCCGUCGAUCGCCACCACGAUGUCGCCCGCAACUGCGUCGCCCGAGCGUCUCGUCCUCGGCACCACCUCGGCACUCGCACCGCGCCCUCGCCGAGCAGCAGCAGAGCCGCGGCCAUGGCCUCGCCCUGCCGACGCCGCCAAGCACCACUGCGCCCGCCUCGGCCGUGCCCCUACCUCUGUGUCAAGCUUCAUCACCACGCGGGGGUCAGCCGCGGUGCCGUCCUCGCUGCGCAGCGGCCUCGCCCGGCGACGUCGAGCCCGCUGCCCUCGCCGCGUCGAGCUUCGACCACGGCCGGCCGCGUGGACGCCACAGCCCGGCCGAGCCUCUGCCUCGCCACCGUGGGAGUCGCCGCGGCCACGACGCCUUCAGCCCCGGCGCCCCUCCGCGUCUACGACGGUGUCGACCGCGAGCCCCCGUGCUGUCAUGGAGCUUAC